Molecule: long non-coding RNA, 632 nt
Organism: Brassica oleracea var. oleracea
Lineage: Eukaryota; Viridiplantae; Streptophyta; Magnoliopsida; Brassicales; Brassicaceae
Exons: 4
Source: RefSeq, a predicted model, not a curated record
AAGAAAAGUAUACAUCAUUCUUAUAGUGUGUUUGAUUGGAAAUUUGACAAUUUUAUAUAUUAGCAAGGUGCUUUAUAUUCAGUUAAAAGAAGGUUCGAGCUUCAGAAAAUAGUGGCUGCUUUCCUCCACCUUAAAGCUCGAUGAGCAUCUUCUCAGUCGCCUUGUAUCACCUUUAACCGGUACCAUAGUUCCAAGGAUUAUACUUGUCUUUGCUGCCCUUGCGAUCGUGAACCUCUGUCAAUGCUCUCUAUAGAAGACUCUCUGGACUAAAUAAAAUAAAGGAGUCAGGUUCUAGGGAGCUAUGCUUCUUGAGUUCGAAGCAAAGAAAGAAGUCAGGUUUUUCUGAGCGACUCAGGACAAGCUGUUCCACAGCUAUAUCACUGGCAUAUAAGGCAUCCAGAGAGUCACAGACAAGUCCAAUACUUUUUCAUCAGGGUUCUCCAUACCAGUCAUGACACGCAUCCUUGACUUCACAGAAUCAGAAGGCUAAUUGUGGUUUUGUCUCUCUUCUCUUUUUGCAGACAAACUAACACAGAAGAUCAUUGAAGCAGUUGAGACUUUGUUUGUUUUAGUUAAACUGCUUGAGACUUUGUUUGUUUUAGUUAAACACCGUAUCCUUGUUUGUUUGUUUU